GUCGAGGGGCACUUCGGUGUCACUGGCGCACGGGUGAGUAACACGUAGGUUAUCUACCCCUAUCACAGACACAACGCUUGGAAACGGGUGCUAAUAUCUGAUGAGGUCUAAGGAUCAAAGCUUCGGCGGAUAGGGAUGAGCCUGCGGCUGAUUAGCUAGUUGGUGAGGUAAUGGCUCACCAAGGCGACGAUCAGUAGCUGGUCUGAGAGGACGAACAGCCACACUGGAACUGAGACACGGUCCAGACUCCUACGGGAGGCAGCAGUGAGGAAUAUUGGUCAAUGGGAGCAAUCCUGAACCAGCAAUGCCGCGUGUGGGAUGAAGGGGCUUCGCCUCGUAAACCACUGUCGGAUGGGACGAAAAGAGGUAUUAACCUCUGGGACGGUACCAUC
RNAcentral lists this ribosomal RNA (392 nucleotides) under uncultured bacterium. RNAcentral's name for it is "bacterial SSU rRNA". It matches the Rfam family "Bacterial small subunit ribosomal RNA", at positions 61 to 482 of the family's 1533-position model. The record is from RNAcentral.